This 253-nucleotide ribosomal RNA is filed under the name uncultured bacterium. Its description in RNAcentral is "partial 16S ribosomal RNA". It matches the Rfam family "Bacterial small subunit ribosomal RNA", at positions 524 to 776 of the family's 1533-position model. The record is from RNAcentral.
UACAGAGGUCCCAAGCGUUGUUCGGAUUCAUUGGGCGUAAAGGGUGCGUAGGUGGCGGGGUAAGUUGGAUGUGAAAUCCCGGGGCUCAACCCCGGAACUGCAUUCAAUACUGCUCUGCUAGAGUACUGGAGAGGAGAUUGGAAUUCAUGGUGUAGCAGUGAAAUGCGUAGAUAUCAUGAGGAAGACCAGUGGCGAAGGCGGAUCUCUGGACAGUUACUGACACUGAGGCACGAAGGCCAGGGGAGCAAACGGG